CAAUAGCGUAUAUUAAAGUUGUUGCGGUUAAAAAGCUCGUAGUUGGAUUUCUGUUGAGGACGGCCGGUCCGCACUAUGUGCGUGUAUCUGGUUCGGCCUUGGCAUCCUCUUGAGGAACGUAUCUGCGCUUGAUUGCGUGGAGCGGUAUUCAAGACUUUUACUUUGAGGAAAUUGGAGUGUUCACGGCAGGCAAGCGCCUUGAAUACGUUAGCAUGGAAUGAUAAUAUAGGAUCUUGGUUCUAUUUUGUUGGUUUCUAGAGCUAAGGUAAUGAUUAAUAGGGAUAAUUGGGGGCAUUUGUAUUAACGCGUCAGAGGUGGAAUUCUUGGAUUGCGUUACGACAAACUACUGCGAAAGCAUUUGCCAAGGAUGUUCUCAUUGA
Molecule: ribosomal RNA, 380 nt
Filed under: uncultured eukaryote
Lineage: Eukaryota
Description: partial 18S ribosomal RNA
Rfam family: Eukaryotic small subunit ribosomal RNA
Source: RNAcentral